GAUGAACGCUGGCGGCGUGCCUAAUACAUGCAAGUAGAACGCUGAAGGAGGAGCUUGCUCUUCUGGAUGAGUUGCGAACGGGUGAGUAACGCGUAGGUAACCUGCCUGGUAGCGGGGGAUAACUAUUGGAAACGAUAGCUAAUACCGCAUGACAACAGUUAUUGCAUGAUAACUGUUUAAAAGGGGCAACUGCUCCACUACCAGAUGGACCUGCGUUGUAUUAGCUAGUUGGUGAGGUAACGGCUCACCAAGGCGACGAUACAUAGCCGACCUGAGAGGGGGGUCGGCCACACUGGGACUGCGACACGGCCCAGACUCCUACGGGAGGCAGCAGUAGGGAAUCUUCGGCAAUGGACGGAAGUCUGACCGAGCAACGCCGCGUGAGUGAAGAAGGUUUUCGGAUCGUAAAGCUCUGUUGUAAGAGAAGAACGAGUGUGAGAGUGGAAAGUUCACACUGUGACGGUAUCUUACCAGAAAGGGACGGCUAACUACGUG
This 495-nucleotide ribosomal RNA is filed under the name uncultured bacterium. RNAcentral's name for it is "partial 16S ribosomal RNA". It matches the Rfam family "Bacterial small subunit ribosomal RNA", at positions 28 to 507 of the family's 1533-position model. The record is from RNAcentral.